UUCAGAAUGGCACCAUCUCCAGCAUAAAAUCAGGUAGCUCUGCUUUGUUUCCCCUCAUUGAAAUGACCUCGUAAGCAAUCAUCUGCCAGAAGUAGUGUAGGCGAUUCUGAAAUUUGACAGCAGUAAUCUAUGUCAGCAUCACUAGUUGUUCAUGAUUCCUCUUACAACUUGUUUCAAAAAUAGUGCCUCUUACAGCCAUGGAGCAUCAUGAACACUGCACGCACCUUUGUGAGAGGAUUGUAGAUGUACAGGCCCGUGAACUCCCUGAUGUAGUUCACCACAUGCAGGUGGUUGUCAUGGUUGCACAAAUUUUAGUCGAAUCAGUUCAAAAUCUUGUUUUAACAACAUCUGCUAAGUAGUUUUGCAAUUAUCAGAGAAGGGCACACACAUUUUGCUGUUGGGGUGCAUCCCUACAUUGUAGUUCACCCUCCACCCUUGAGCUGGCACAUACCAGCCUGCAAUGUUUUCAUGGAUGCAUCGACGGAGUCCCUCGAUGAUGUGGUUUGCAUUAUCUUCGUGCUUCAGUUUCAUGGCGUCCUCUCCAUUUGAGGUCUCGCACGGGUCCAUAACAAGUAGCGUCUUCUCGUCGACAUCAACAACAUAGAGAGACCACGAAUUGUGGUAUGGCACUGGCAGCAUCAGCUGAAAAUGAUCACCGUAGUCAGCGCUCCGAUUCAGCGCAAACCAAAUAUAAUAUAGUACAAUAUCAGGAUGAUUAAUCGCUAACCUUCUUGGUCCACUGAAGCCUAUAUCCAAGCGCCUCAAAGCUCAUCAUUGUAUUCAUGAAUUCGAAAUCUAGACUGUAUGAGUUGUACAUCAAGGCAAGCUGCAACCACAUAUUUCCAGUUAGCGGGUCAUACAUGUUACUCAAGAGGCACAAGCGCAAAAAUCAUGCCAACUACUCACCACAAAGCGCACAUCAAACACAUGGUGCCACCUGAUCUGCCAUGAACCGUACAUGAGCCCUUCCUUGUAAGUGAUCAUUCGGCUCAAGCAAACCCAACCAGUAACUGUUAGCCUUCCAUUCGGCCCAAAUUCUUUCCGAAAAUCAUCACCACACAUCACAACUAGGUACGGAGCAAGGUGUUUGAACCAUUUCCUGCAAAAUGAGUUCAGCAAGUGGUAAGUACAAGUAAUCCAUGUCGGGAUGGGCGGAUGCACCUUCUUCUAAUGUCUCUCCUUUCGAACUUACUUGUCGAGCUCCUAUCUCGUGCAUGUCAGCAUUUUGUCGAAGAAGUACACCACAUUCUCUGCUGUCGGCUCUUCAUGCUUCAGUCCAGCUUUCCCCGGGAAUUUGUCUCCCAUUCUAUUCUUCACAAAUGUCCUAACCAUACCGACUUGCACCCUUACAGGUCCCGAGCCUCCCAGACUAGGCUCAGCGCCCUGAUUGCUGGCUGCAUCAGCUGAAACACCCGUCCGACAAAGAUGUUAUGCUUCUAGGUUGUCAACGUCAGUUUUGAAUGCAUAAUUUUGUAACCUAUACCUUGAUGGAGAUGUUGCUCGCCCCCUGCCGAUGCAGACCCCACCACGCGAUUAGCUGCUGCUGAUGAUCCGCCAGAUGCAGUAACUGUAUUACAUGAUCAGCCGGUCAGGUCACGCAAAUCCAUGCUGCUAGUGUCAGUCAUAUGAUAUCUUACUUGUUAUUCCAGGGAACACAUAGUCCCUGUUUCUUGACGAGUGAUGACCCCAACUCCAUAGCCUACGCCCCUGGCUGUAUCAUUGGGACGCAUAUGUACCUCACCUGGUUUUUUGGAACAAUCAAUCAUGUUAGACUUUAACUUUCAGGAUGUACACUACGCUACUUACUUAUAGGAUCCACAUUUUGAUUUACCGUGUAAUCCAUCUGGGGGAAUGCUCUGCUCUGCGGCUCCUCCUUGUUGGUCGUCUUGCAUCGCACCCGCAUCAUUGUCAGAGCUAUCUGAUGAAGAUAACCCACUCCCGGAAGGUGUUUUCCGUUUCCUAUUGCGACACUUGUUGCUCCCACGGUGCACACAUCUUUUCUGUCGUUGCCUUGCUGGAGGCACAACCCGAAUUACUGGCUGUUCUGGAGUAGAGCUCACGCACAGCACACCUGGUGUUGCCAUCGCAAAAUGUUUUCUUUUGUUACGAGCAGCACUUAACGAAACAACACAAUGGUUUUACAUCUAUGUGGAUAGCAUUAUGCACCGUUGAUCUCAGCCUGGAACUUGAGACAAUCUGGCACCAUAUCAGCAUUGCUUAGCGUUGCCCUCAUCAGCUCAUCUGGAACAAGAUUUUAUCAUCACGCCGACAUGAUUGUUGUUAGUAGUUAUACGCAAAAAUCAUGUAACAACAAAAUUGUAUCACUGCUUUUCCAAAAUAUACCUAUUUCUGCCUCGAUAGUUUCCAUGGCGCAGUUGCCUGCUUGCGCAUCUGUAACCACAUUAUAAGCUCUAAUUAGUCAGCAAAAGACAAAGCAUUGGAAGGCUCUUUAUCACAACUUCAGAAAUCUAGCAAACUAUACCUCCAGUGUCACGCCCUAAGGCUACAACAGUGCAAUCUUCUGUGUUCUGCCUUGCCUCAAUACCGCUUUCUGGUGUCGAACUGACAACUCGGACAUCUAACAAGGUGGAAUUUCACAAAAUAAUAUGUAUAUGUCAGUACCACUAUUAUACUCACAGGUGCCAUCUAAUUCAUUGGAAUUGUGUUAACUUACUGUUGAUUUCUGUUUCAAACUUUAGACAUGUGUUAGCCCCCCUGUGAUCAACUGCUUCAUCCCUACCGUUGGCAUCUACAUUACCCCAUCACCACUUUCUAUGUACAAUAUUUAUGGAUACGUUUACCCAUAUAUAGCACCGACUCUGACCUGGCUCUGCUGGAGGCUCCACCCGUACUCCAACCAUGCGAGUCGCAGACACACUUGUCACCAAAUCGAUGAUACCCACCUCCAUCUCUGCACCAUUUGCAAAUUGUUAGUUCAUACAUUUUCAUACAUGUUUAUAGCUCAAUUAUUUCUUAUCCCUUGCUAAAAUUCCCUUUUUACACAUAUGAUUCAUUUAUUCCCACUACAAUAUAUUAUCAAGACAAGCAUUUCAUGAUUCUAUUUAUUUUUUCCUUUAUUCAUAUUGCUCACCGUUUGCAUCGUACAAAUUCUGAACAGAUGAAGCAAAUAAUAAAUCAUUUGUCUCCUUUGCCCUGGGAGUGAUAGGGCUCUGUAUUAGGCUUUCAUGGUGUCUGUCUAACAUUUGAUCGUAACCUUCACUUUCUUCAGAUGCAGGGCUCCCACAAUUGUCUUCAUGAUCCACAUCAGUGUUUCCCGCCACACGACUUGUAGUCCUAUGAUCAGGGUCUAUGCUAGCAGGGUAGUGAGCCCCACUGACUCCCUCAGCUGCAAAAUAUAAAAUUACAACUGUUUGUCAACCUGAUGAAAUAUGGGAAUUCAAAUCAAUCUGGGGAAACAUAUGCCACCUUGAAUUGCCGCUGCUGCCUCCACAAAUCUUGCCACCAACAAUGACAUGGAUGCAAUAUCUGGAAUGAAUUCUCUGUGCCAUACAUAAGAAGCUGAAUCUGGUGUUGACUGAAGCAUCCGGAACAGCGUCAUUGGCGAGGCUCCACCCCUGUCUGGUGUGACCAGAUCUAUGAAUGCUUCGAAAGACAUAGCUCUUGUGGGUGCGAAACCUAACGUCCAGAGUGAUUAAAUGCAAUUUACUCAUUAUCUGCUACAUGCAUAUGUUGUAUGUAUUUUGUUUGUGUUUUUUAUACGAAACCUUACAUGCUACUGGAAUUUCUUCAUGCCUGAGCUGAGGAACGAUGAUAGGCUCAUCUAGUUCUAAAUCUUCAGGGUCCACUGCUGGAAGCUGGGCAUUCACCCCAUCCGCCCCUGUCAAUGCACACAGGUUUUCCUCAGUGUUAGCUUCAACAAGAUUUCCACAGGAGGACAUCAG
This 3902-nucleotide long non-coding RNA is filed under the name Triticum aestivum (bread wheat). RNAcentral's name for it is "long non-coding RNA (TAES_LNC021143)". Lineage: Eukaryota; Viridiplantae; Streptophyta; Magnoliopsida; Poales; Poaceae. The record is from RNAcentral.